UACGUAGGCAGCGAGCGUUGUUCGGAGUUACUGGGCGUAAAGAGUGCGUAGGCGGUUUUCUAAGUUUGGUGUGAAAUCUCCCGGCUUAACUGGGAGGGUGCGCCGAAAACUGGAAGGCUUGAGUAUGGGAGAGGUAAGCGGAAUUCCUGGUGUAGCGGUGAAAUGCGUAGAUAUCAGGAGGAACACCUGUGGUGUAGACAGCUUACUGGACCAUUUCUGACGCUGAGACACGAAAGCGUGGGUAGCAAACAGG
Molecule: ribosomal RNA, 253 nt
Filed under: uncultured bacterium
Lineage: Bacteria
Description: partial 16S ribosomal RNA
Rfam family: Bacterial small subunit ribosomal RNA
Source: RNAcentral